Molecule: long non-coding RNA, 282 nt
Filed under: Lathyrus oleraceus (garden pea)
Lineage: Eukaryota; Viridiplantae; Streptophyta; Magnoliopsida; Fabales; Fabaceae
Description: Pisum sativum (pea) long non-coding RNA (PSAT_LNC004557)
Source: RNAcentral
UGAUAUAACUCAAGCAAGAAUUCUCUCCUUUGAAUUAAACCUCAAGCAAGCCAAAUAUGCAAAGAAUAAUCCAUGUAUCAUAUGAAACCAAAGUAACCAAGCAAAGUCUUCAAAAGAAAUCCAAAGCCUAAGGUACCAGAUGAAUCCCAAAGUCUUAAAUCAUAAGCUUCCAAAGAAAUGGUCAAAGUCCUAAUUCUAAGUCCAUAACUCCACAACAAUGCUAAGGAUAGUAACCACAAGUCCACGAAUCCAGGGAACCGAUUUUUUUUAGGGGGGAGGGGA